Molecule: unclassified non-coding RNA, 590 nt
Filed under: Hevea brasiliensis (rubber tree)
Lineage: Eukaryota; Viridiplantae; Streptophyta; Magnoliopsida; Malpighiales; Euphorbiaceae
Source: RNAcentral
AUAUGAUGAAUUUGAUAAUGCUGCCACUACUGUUAUGAAUCAUUCUCCAGAUGCUUGGGAUCAUAUGCAGUUCAAAGAUAUAGUUGUGAAAGUUGCUAAUGUGGAACUUUAUUACAAGGCCGUCCACUUCUAUUUGCAAGAGCAUCCUGAUCUGAUCAAUGAUCUUUUAAAUGUUCUAGCACUCAGGGUGGACCACACACGUGUAGUGGAUAUAAUGAGAAAGGCGGGUCACCUUCGCCUAGUGAAGCCUUAUAUGAUUGCUGUUCAAAGCAACAAUGUUUCUGCUGUGAAUGAGGCCCUUAACGAGAUAUAUGUUGAAGAGGAAGACUAUGAUAGACUACGUGAAUCAAUUGAAUUGCAUGAUAGCUUUGAUCAGAUUGGGCUUGCACAGAAGAUAGAGAAACAUGAGCUCCUUGAGAUGAGGCGUGUUGCUGCUUCUAUUUAUAAAAAGGCUGGUCGGUGGAAGCAAUCCAUUGCUCUAUCGAAGAAAGAUAAUCUUUACAAAGAUGCAAUGGAAACAGCCUCACAAUCUGGGGAUCGUGAACUUGCUGAGGAGUUGCUUGUUUACUUCAUUGAACAGGGAAAGAAAG